AACCUUCGCAAUGCGCGUAAGCGUGACGAGGGAACCCCGAGUGCCAGCCUACAAGGUUGGCUUUUGUGGAGUCUAAAAAGCUCUAUGAAUAAAGACUGGGCAAGACUGGUGCCAGCCUCCGCGGUAACACCAGCAGUUUGAGUGGUACCCGGUAUUAUUGGGCUUAAAGCGUCCGUAGUCGGAUGGGUCAGUCCCCUGUGAAAUCCUACGGCUUAACCGUAGGAAUUGCAGGGGAUACUGCUUAUCUUGAGGCCGGGAGAGGACAGGGGUACUUCUAGGGUAGUAGUGAAAUGCUAUAAUCCUAGGAGGACCACCAGUAGCGAAGGCGCCUGUCUGGAACGGGCCUGACGAUGAGGGACGAGAGCUAGGGGAGCGAACCGGAUUAGAUACCCGGGUAGUCCUAGCCGUAAACGAUGCGGACUGAGUGUUGCGCGACCCUUGGGGUCGCGCAGUGCUGAAGGGAAACCGUUAAGUCCGCCGCCUGGGGAGUACGUCGCAAGGCU
This 503-nucleotide ribosomal RNA is filed under the name uncultured archaeon. Its description in RNAcentral is "bacterial SSU rRNA". It matches the Rfam family "Archaeal small subunit ribosomal RNA", at positions 345 to 850 of the family's 1478-position model. The record is from RNAcentral.